GUGCUCGCUUCAGCAGCACAUACACUAAAAUUGGAACGAUACCGAGAUUAGCAUGGCCCCUGCACAAGGAUGACACACAAAUUCAUUCGUGAAGCGUUCCAUAUUUUU
Molecule: small nuclear RNA, 108 nt
Organism: Myodes glareolus (Bank vole)
Lineage: Eukaryota; Metazoa; Chordata; Mammalia; Rodentia; Cricetidae
Source: RefSeq, a predicted model, not a curated record